RNAcentral lists this ribosomal RNA (503 nucleotides) under uncultured soil bacterium. RNAcentral describes it as "bacterial SSU rRNA". It matches the Rfam family "Bacterial small subunit ribosomal RNA", at positions 26 to 527 of the family's 1533-position model. The record is from RNAcentral.
AGAUUGAACGCUGGCGGCAGGCCUAACACAUGCAAGUCGAGCGGCAGCACGGGUACUUGUACCUGGUGGCGAGCGGCGGACGGGUGAGUAAUGCCUAGGAAUCUGCCUGGUAGUGGGGGAUAACGCUCGGAAACGGACGCUAAUACCGCAUACGUCCUACGGGAGAAAGCAGGGGACCUUCGGGCCUUGCGCUAUCAGAUGAGCCUAGGUCGGAUUAGCUAGUUGGUGAGGUAAUGGCUCACCAAGGCGACGAUCCGUAACUGGUCUGAGAGGAUGAUCAGUCACACUGGAACUGAGACACGGUCCAGACUCCUACGGGAGCAGCAGUGGGAAUAUUGGACAAGUGGGCGAAAGCCUGAUCCAGCCAUGCCGCGUGUGUGAAGAAGGUCUUCGGAUUGUAAAGCACUUUAAGUGGAGAAGGCAGUUACCUAAUACGUAUCUGUUUUGACGUUACCGACAGAAUAAGCGAACCGGCCUUAAACGUCCUUGGCGUCCCAAGACCG